AUUUUUCGGACCAAACCGUCCAA
RNAcentral lists this small nuclear RNA (23 nucleotides) under Arabidopsis thaliana (thale cress). RNAcentral describes it as "snRNA_09508". The record is from RNAcentral. Lineage: Eukaryota; Viridiplantae; Streptophyta; Magnoliopsida; Brassicales; Brassicaceae.